UUAACAAACUUAAAAUUAUUAUCUAAUUAACCCUAAUAAUAAUAAGGGCCAUUAUAAACUGAAAAAACACCAACUUUGACAUUUAGGUCAGCUUUAACCAUUUUUUAGCUAAAUUUUUUUUUUCCUCCAUUGUAUCUGUCUAAAUUUUCGUCAUGUGGACGUUAACGGAUGUCACUUGGCAAAUUUAUUUUAUGAUGCGAUGAGCCACGUCAUAAAAUAACAAAACAAACGAAAUUGAAAAAUAAGGAAAACAUUAAACAAAUGAUGAUCAUAUAUUUGUCAGUGGAGGAAGCAGUGGCAGCCUCCAUAGUCGCCUCCUGUGAAUUUCUACGGAGCCCACUCGAUCGAGUCCUUUGUGGCUUCGAUUGAAGCCAUGAGCAGAUCAGAAAUCAACGGCAUCAAGUGGCUCAUAUGGGUUCCAUGAGCACAGCACCACUGAUUGAUCAAAUUUUUCAGAGCCCGGUUUUGUACCAAGCUUUGAGUGAGCCAGCAUUUACCCUAUUUUCGGACAGGUAACAUAGCCUCCUUACACACAACUCGAGAUUGAACUCCGAUCAUAUGUCUGCCCCAUGGAUGUAAUACGGGUCCGCAUAAGUUCCAGUGAAAUUGGGCAGCAUAAGCCUUCUGGGAUUGCGAUGAAGGUCUUGGUGAUCCUCUGAGUGUCCGACUGUUGUUCUUCUGAGGUUCUUUGAAAUCCCAUGCUCAACUUCAUCAUCCUCUGCCUCAAACCUAUAAAGUAGGAACCUGCAUUAUCUUUUAAUGAGAGCAAUAAGCCCAUUAAGCACGAAGACCGCAGGCUCAAGGUACUUGCUCCUCUAGAAACUCGAUAUCAACCCUACAGCUCUUAGCAUCUAGAAUUUUCAAUUUCUCCAUAAAGAACACCCUCAGCUGAAUGGGAUUGGGGACUCAUCCAUUCUUGAACUCCUCAAGGAAACCGAAGAUCUAAACUCUCAGGGCCAUGUCAUGCUUGCCUAUGUACAAGCGGUCCCUCCUCAAUUUCCUCUGUCACAGCUCAAUUUGCUCCCUUAUCUCUUCACUCGAUGCAAUAUCUUUUAUUAGGAAAACAUCCAAGAGGUUGUAUGUCUCCGUGUGCUUUGAGGCAAGAGGCAACGGAGGACAUGGUGAAAAUGAUGACGGGGGCGACGGUAGUGGGUGGGCGAGGUCGAAGAAUUAGAAUUUAUAAUGUCACAAAAAAAAUUAUUUAAAUUUAUAUUUGAAAAUAAAAUUAUUAAAAAUGUUAAUUUUUUACCUUAAUAAAAGGGAGAGAGGAUUCCAAACCCAACCUACUAGCUCCUUCGUUCGAUGGGAGCAAACUUAGUAAAGAUCAUACUAACUAGAAUAUCAUACGAUCUUAAACUAACAUUUUUACCUACUAACUUUUAUUCUGAAUUUUCAUUAUUUGCAAUUAUAAAAGCAUGUCGCAAUAUAAUAGGGUUCAAGUAAAUCCGCCAAUUUGGAGCAACGAACCUUACUGAUAGUAUAGAGUUCGAAAUUUGUUAUAAGUAUCUUUAGUCAUGGCAAAAUAGCAUAAGCAAAAAUUAGUCUGAAUUAUAUGCUAGUAAUGCAUUCUUACAUUUUACCCAAAAAAAAUAGGACGCAAAAAGGGCAUAAAUGAAAAGAGCAUGCUUAAAUUGGUUAUCCAUUCUAGUAGGUAUUUUAUACUAAAAUGAAGAAAUUAAAAAAAAAUCAAUUAGUUUUAGAAUAAGUGGAUGGCACUUGCGAGUGAAAACCUACUGACUAAUUUAAAUUGGUGAUCAAUUCAAAUAAGUAUUUUACACUAAAACGAAGAAAUUGAUUAUAUAUUAAUUUAAAAAGUGUAUGGUGACUGCGGAUGGGGAAAACCCACCCACAUGCCACUUCGAUGGCAUGGACCAAAAAUAAUGAGAUUAUUUCUAAGGUGGCAUUUAUGGUACUGUGGUAAUGGGAUUACUAGUAAUCCACAUUGGUUCAAGAUAGAUUCCUACCAAUUAGAUUACCAGUUAUCCACAUUAUCACAUUUGGUAUCUCAGUUAAUAUUACUAGGAACCUUUUAUUAUCCUUAUUUUAUUAUAAUACUAAGGUGCGAGAUGUUUAAUUCCAAGGUGUGAAUUAACAUUUCUACCCCUUAGCGAUAAUCUACAUUACCAGUUGAGUGAGAAUGUGCAGUGGGAAUGUGGAUUGCCAUGAAUGGCCGAAUCAAAUAUGGGAAUUCUAUGCCCUAGGGAACUUUAAAAGAUCAACUUUUUUGAGAAUCCAUAUAGAUUCUCAUGUAUCCAAUGUCUUCUAAGGGCAUAAAUGAAAAGAGUAUACUUCAAUUAGUUAUCAAAUUAUGUAGAUAUUUUAUAAUAAAAUAAAGAAACUAAAAAAUCAAUUUUUUUUAAAAAAAAAAGUGGAUGGCACCUGCAGAUGGGAACCCACCGACUCGCCUAAACCGAUGAUCAAUUCAAGUAGGUAAAAUGAAGAUAUUAAUAAUAGAAUUAAAUGCACUUUGCCUCCCGACCUAUGAGGUGAAAUUAGAUUUGCCUCCUGACCUAUGAAAUUUGGCAGAGUGCCCCCUCACUUAAUCUGAAAGUAAGCAAUGUGAUUCCCGGACCAAAUUCCGGUCAAAAUUCCGGCCAAAAGAAGUCACAUGCUAGUCACAUGUCAAUUUGAAGAGGGCAAAAUUGUCACUGAGAAAUAAUUAAUCAAAAAUUGGGUUUUUGCAAAAUUGGGAUUUGGGGGUUGGAGUGGUUCUAUUGCGUUAUUUUGUCAGCUUUCUUGUGCUUGAAGAGUUUCGUCUUUGGCUGCUACUGAGAGAAUUGGAUUUUUGCAAAAUUAGGCACCUCUGAUAGUUUGUCAUCCUCGACUCUCUGCAUCUCUUCCCCGAUCACCAGCACCAAUACGAAGACUCCGUGAUUGCUCGGCGACUGUCCGUUCAAGUGAAUCCGACGACCGUCUGCCUUCUCUGCUCAUCUGCCACGGUUCACCCUUCUCUACCCACAUACGCUCGUUGUCUCAGACAAACCCAGUAACACCUACACUCUUGGCGACUUCCUACAAGCCACUCGCCAAGUGACUCCUUAUAGCUACACGCCGACAACUGUCCUCGACAAAGGGAUAACAAUGACUACUUCAGCAUCAAGAUGCAUCAUUCUGGUUGGUUUUAUAACAUUGGCUACUCUAUGUGCUAUGUUGGGGGAAAUGUCAAUUACUUUGACUACUGUGAUGGUGAUGAGAUGUCUAUGAUAUAAAUUGAUUAUAUGGUCGAAAAAAUUGGAGUAACAGAAUUUACUGCUUUUUACUUCAGUAGGGAAGGGACAAAUAAUUACAAUACUUUACAACUUAUGCAACAUGACCAUGAUGUAAUGAAAUUGCCUUACUUUGCUGAUCCAAAGAGGAUUGUUGAGAU
Molecule: non-coding RNA, 3367 nt
Organism: Punica granatum (pomegranate)
Lineage: Eukaryota; Viridiplantae; Streptophyta; Magnoliopsida; Myrtales; Lythraceae
Source: RefSeq, a predicted model, not a curated record